Molecule: ribosomal RNA, 432 nt
Filed under: uncultured bacterium
Lineage: Bacteria
Description: partial 16S ribosomal RNA
Rfam family: Bacterial small subunit ribosomal RNA
Source: RNAcentral
ACGAACGCUGGCGGCAUGCCUAACACAUGCAAGUCGAACGAGACCUUCGGGUCUAGUGGCGCACGGGUGCGUAACGCGUGGGAACCUGCCCUUAGGUUCGGAAUAACUCCCCGAAAGGGGUGCUAAUACCGGCUAAUGUCUUCGGACCAAAGAUUUAUCGCCUUUGGAUGGGCCCGCGUUGGAUUAGCUAGUUGGUAGGGUAAAAGCCUACCAAGGCGACGAUCCAUAGCUGGUCUGAGAGGAUGAUCAGCCACACUGGGACUGAGACACGGCCCAGACUCCUACGGGAGGCAGCAGUGGGGAAUAUUGGACAAUGGGCGAAAGCCUGAUCCAGCAAUGCCGCGUGAGUGAUGAAGGCCUUAGGGUUGUAAAGCUCUUUUACCCGGGAUGAUAAUGACAGUACCGGGAGAAUAAGCUCCGGCUAACUCCGUG